Schizosaccharomyces pombe (fission yeast) is the source of this 339-nucleotide non-coding RNA. Lineage: Eukaryota; Fungi; Ascomycota; Schizosaccharomycetes; Schizosaccharomycetales; Schizosaccharomycetaceae. The record is from the annotation of a GenBank genome assembly.
GUGCCAUAUUUGUCAAUCAAAACGCCUGGGUCAUUUUUGGAAGGCUUAAAUGGUGCAGUGACUGUGAAACUUUGUUAGAAAAUAAAACAUAAAGUAGAUCAAAGUAAAAGAUUUAAUACCAUGGGUAUCUAUCCAAAGAGGCCACAGAGUGUAGUCUAAGUCAAAAACAACGCAUUUUGGGAAUUCGAUAUUUUUUACCAUAUUUGCUUGAUAUUUUAUGGUAUUGGUUAUUAGGUUCGUAAACAACAAGAAUGAAAGUCUUUUUAAGAGUGAUUUCAAGUUCAAAAGAUUGACCGUAACGCUUUCAAGAAGUUUACUGCCAGUUUGCUAGUUCGAUAA